Molecule: ribosomal RNA, 482 nt
Filed under: uncultured bacterium
Lineage: Bacteria
Description: bacterial SSU rRNA
Rfam family: Bacterial small subunit ribosomal RNA
Source: RNAcentral
GGUUUGAUUAUGGCUCAGGACGAACGCUGGCGGCGUGCUUAACACAUGCAAGUCGAGCGAUGAAGCACCUUCGGGUGUGAAUUAGCGGCGAACGGGUGAGGAACACGUGAGAAAUCUGCCUUCAACACUGGGAUAACUCCGGGAAACCGGGGCUAAUACCGGAUAUGAAACCUGCGGGCAUCCGCGGGUUUGGAAAGUUUUUCGGUUGAAGAUGAUCUCGCGGCCUAUCAGCUUGUUGGUGAGGUAAUGGCUCACCAAGGCGACGACGGGUAGCCGGCCUGAGAGGGCGACCGGCCACACUGGGACUGAGACACGGCCCAGACUCCUACGGGAGGCAGCAGUGGGGAAUAUUGGGCAAUGGAGGAAACUCUGACCCAGCGACGCCGCGUGCGGGAUGAAGGCCUUCGGGUUGUAAACCGCUUUCAGCAGGGAAGAAGCGAAAGUGACGGUACCUGCAGAAGAAGCACCGGCUAACUAUGUGC